RNAcentral lists this ribosomal RNA (497 nucleotides) under uncultured bacterium. RNAcentral describes it as "partial 16S ribosomal RNA". It matches the Rfam family "Bacterial small subunit ribosomal RNA", at positions 28 to 507 of the family's 1533-position model. The record is from RNAcentral.
GAUGAACGCUGGCGGCGUGCCUAAUACAUGCAAGUCGAGCGAACAGACGAGGAGCUUGCUCCUCUGACGUUAGCGGCGGACGGGUGAGUAACACGUGGAUAACCUACCUAUAAGACUGGGAUAACUUCGGGAAACCGGAGCUAAUACCGGAUAAUAUAUUGAACCGCAUGGUUCAAUAGUGAAAGACGGUUUUGCUGUCACUUAUAGAUGGAUCCGCGCCGCAUUAGCUAGUUGGUAAGGUAACGGCUUACCAAGGCAACGAUGCGUAGCCGACCUGAGAGGGGGAUCGCAGAAAUGGGAACUGAGACGCGGUCCGGACACCAUCGGGGGGGAGCAGUAGGGUAGUUGACGCAAAGGGCGGAAUCUUAACGGAGUAACGCCGCGUAAGUGAAGAAGGUCUUCGAAUCGUAAAACUCUGUUAUUAGGGAAGAACAAAUGUGUAAGUAACUAUGGACGUCUUGACGGUACUUAAUCAGAAAGACACGGCUAACUACGUG